Molecule: ribosomal RNA, 567 nt
Filed under: uncultured eukaryote
Lineage: Eukaryota
Description: eukaryotic LSU rRNA
Rfam family: 5.8S ribosomal RNA (bases 161-311)
Source: RNAcentral
GCCGCAUGGCCGCGGGAUUUCCGUAGGUGANACCUGCGGAAGGAUCAUUUCGCUAACUACUGAUUCAAUUUCACAUGCGACUUUGUGCUCGACUUCACCUCACGUCAUUGCAGCAUGUUGGCAUUGUGAGACUGUUGUAAUUUUCACAGUAAAUGAUUGACACUUUCAACGGCGGAUGUCUCAGCUCGAGUUCCGAUGAAGAACGCAGCGAAGCGCGAUACGCAUGGCGAUGCGCGGAGAUCCGUGACUUGAAGUUUUUCGAAUGCACUGCGCCUUGUGCCCGUGCACAAGGCACGUCUGGUUCGGUGUCUUUUUAUGAUCUUUCGGCGUGCGCUAACUCCGAAAGCAGUUCGCUGUGCGUAUCACAGCUCCGGGUAUUGGCUGUGGUCUGCAAAAAUUUCAGAAUGGUCUUGCGUCUUUGAAUUACAGAAAUGUACUUGACGUUCUUUUCAAAACCGACGCACCUGGCAUUCAGUGCCCAUUGGUUAUCAGCUUCUGAGGCUCUUGUGUUCAUAUAUUUGGACCCGAACUUGGAUUGGGCUACCCGCUGAAUUUAAGCAUAUCAAU